GACACCACAAUCAGAGCUCUUGGAGGAAACUCAGUCCGGUAAGCCAGGAACAUUACUUGAGAAUGGUAAAACACAGAGUAGAAAAUCAGUCAGAAAUUGCCGCAACCACCCAACCUUCAGCAACAACAUCCUGAUCAGUCAGCAGCCAUCAACAUCAAGGCAGCUGAAUGCAAUUCGAACUGACAUAUCCUAACUGGCACAGUGGGAUAAUCACAAUGCUAAAGGUAUGGUCAAAUUGUUGAGAGGGCAAAGGAAUCAGUUACUCACUCUGCCAAUUUGUGUUGGAGAAUGUUCUAGAGAGAAACAAUAUAUAAAAACUUGAUACUGAAAGGAAAAAAAUAACCUGAACAGAAAGACAAUCAGGUGAUUAUUAAUAAAUAACUUAGUUUGCCUUGAACAUAGAAUUAUUAUAAUAAAGGACUAUUUAGAAAGGGGCAGCAUCACAGGCUUUGUGGCCGAAAAGGUAUGUUGAAAUUAGAGUUUAAUGAAUUUUCUAUUUUUUUGUUAGUAUUAAGGGGAAUGAAUAAGAGGGUAGAGAGACCAGACACUAUGAGAUAUUGUGAUAAUGUAGGAUGUAGUAAGCAUGAUCUCCAGCAAAUGGAGCAUUCUGAUUCCUGAAAAUAUGUAAAAUUAAACUUAUUUUAUUUAUUUUUAUAUUCAUGCAUAUAGUGUCGUUUCUGUCACAUGGUAGGUACCUAAAUUAUAAUUGGAACAGGUAUGAGUCCACGUUUUGUGGGGUAUGUAUAUAAGUUAGGAAAAUAUGUUUAGAAAAACAGAAUACAAAUUAUGAAAACAUUAGAUAUCUGGCUUUAGAGGAGGUUAUGCAAUUAAGUGGCCUGAAGUUUAAGCCUCAUUAGCUUCACAGUAAAUCUGCCUCUGCUCCGGAUUAAAUAAAUGGACACUGUCACAUGCAUAGGCAAGUAGAAUAGAAGUAAAUUAUAUAAUAGAUAAAAAAUACUGUUUAAGCAAAAGAGGCAUCUGAUACUUUCAUUAUUAGGGUAGAGGGAGGGGUAAGAAAUAAUUUUUGAAAUGUUAGGUAAAUGGUAGGCUGUUACAUACUUCAAUUAUUCCAAAAAUAUUUAUGAGUGUAUGUAAUGUACCAGGCAUUAAGCUAGAGCAUACAGAGGGAAAAGAUAUAGUCAAUAAUUUAUGAAUAUCACAUAAGAAUGAGAGAAACAAGUAACUAUAGGUUACAUGCUGUGGUUGAUAAAUGAAAAUGGUGCUAGAAUGAUACAGAGAAGGAUUAUCUACAUUGGUAUUGGUUCUUUAUGGUUGAAAGCAUGACAUAAUAUUAAAUGGGAGAUGUAAGCCAGAGCACUAUCAUUAGGGAACUUAUGUGCUCACAUUUUUGUUUUGAAAAAAUCUCUAGCUGCACAAGAGAGGAUAGAUCAAUGAUAAUAUAAAUGGGGAAACUACUGCAGCAAAUGGUUAUGGGUGGUGUAGGUAAAGAUUAAUAUACAUAACUAAAAUAUGAAAAAUGGGUAUUGCCGAAAGGGAGAAAAUUUUAGUGGAAUCAACAGAUCUUAAUGUAGUUUUGUUGUGUUUUGUUUUUAAAUAUAUUUUUUAAAUUUUAAAUUUUUAAUUUUUGUGGGUCCAUAGUAGAUAUAUAUAUUUAUGGUGUACAAGAGAUAUUUUGAUACAGGCAUAUAAUGCAUAAUAAUCACAUUAGGGUAAAUGGGAUAUCUGUAACCUCAAACAUUUAUUCUUUAUUUGUAUUGCAAGCAAUCCUCUUAGUUAUUUUAAAAUGUAUAAUAAACCAUAGUUGACUGUAGUUACUCUGUUGUGCUAUCAAAUACUAGAUCUUAUUCUAUCUAACUACAUUUUUGUACUCAUUACUACCCUCUUCCUCCCCACUAUCUACUACUCUUCCUAGCCUCUAGUAAUCAUCAUUCUACUCUCUAUACCCAUGAGUUCAAUUUUUAAAAAUUUUCCAACCUUAAAUAAGUAAGAACCUGCAAAAUUUGUCUUUCUGUGCCUGGUUUACUUCCCUUAACAUAAUGACUUUCGGUUCCAUCCAUGUUGUGGCAAAUGACAGGAGCUCAUUAUUUGUUAUGGCUGACUAAUACUCCACUGUGUAUAGGCACCACAUUUUUUUAUCCUCUGUUGAUGGACACAGAUUGCUUCCAAAUCUUUGCUAUUGUGAAUAGUGCUACC
Long non-coding RNA from Pan troglodytes (chimpanzee), 2154 nucleotides. RefSeq lists it as uncharacterized. The record is from RefSeq and is a predicted model, not a curated record. Lineage: Eukaryota; Metazoa; Chordata; Mammalia; Primates; Hominidae. The transcript is spliced from 3 exons.